GAUUUAAGGGUGCCACUGAUUUCUCCAUCAAAUCAAAUCUGGGUUCUAGGGUUUUUUUUGUUGCGAAAAAGGUAAGUUUCAUCCGAUUAUUCAAGACAGACAAAGAACAACAGAGAGAAGCAGCAUAUGGUAGCGAGAGAGAGAGAGAUGAGAGCAGGCAGAGAGACGUCGGCGGUAGUGAGACGGUGGUGGCGUUGAGGGUUCCGUCAACUGUGAAUUAGAUCUUCGAGGAAAAAAGAUUACUCUUAUAGAGAAUCUAGGUGCUACUGAGGUUAGUGUUUAUGUUUUCCGAUUUCUAGGGUUUCAAAUUGUGCGAUUGAUUCAUAAUGUAACCGUUGGAUUUGGCGUUUUGAGUUUGCUAUGAAUUGGAAUUUUCGAAUCGACCUGUAGAAUGUAGCAAAUGCUACUUUUUAGUGAGGUAUAUAGUGUUUUGAGUUUUGACAUUGAUAUUGUGUUUCAUUGAGAAAAAAAUUGUGUGCAUUGCCAUUGUGUUAGGUACUCUCUGUUUGGUAUUUAGGUUGUUUUCAUGUUCGAAUGUGGUUGUUUAUUGAUGUUUUAUUUCGAGUUAACACUGCUAUACAUUUGUUCUUGCUCUCUCCUAUAUACCUUAGCUAACUGAAGAACUGUCAAAAGUGGAUGAAAAGCUGAAGUUGACCGAAUCUCUUCUCGACAGCAAGAAUCUUGGAAUCAAGAAAAUCAACGAUGAGAAGAAAGCAUCAAUGGCAGCUCAAUUUGCAGCAGAAGCUACUUUACGAAGAGCCCACGCAGCUCAAAAAGACGACGACAUGCCCCCAAUCGAAGCCAUCCUUCCACCUUUGGAAGCCGAACUCAAGCUAGCCAGACAAGAGGGAACGAUGAGGAUGCGAGUGACCCAACUGCAUUUAAAGAAUUCACAAUGGACCAACUUAAAAAUGCAAAGGGAAUUGGGUGAACCAAAUGUGUUACAACUAAGUAAAAUGUCUUUGUAGUUUUUAAUUAAAGAUUCUAUACUAAGUGAAGUGAGGUUAUAUAUGUUUGGAUUAUAAUAGUUUUCUCUAGCCUCUCACAUGUACUAAGGGGUGUUAUAUAUGUUUGGAUUAUAACA
Molecule: long non-coding RNA, 1084 nt
Organism: Helianthus annuus (common sunflower)
Lineage: Eukaryota; Viridiplantae; Streptophyta; Magnoliopsida; Asterales; Asteraceae
Exons: 4
Source: RefSeq, a predicted model, not a curated record